GUCCGCCAGAAAAUUACGAGCGAAAGCCUAAAACUCAAAAGACUUGACGGUGUCCCAACCUCCCUAGAGGAGCCUGUUCCAUAAUCGACAACCCCCGAUACACCUAACCACCCUUAGAACCACCAUUCAGCCUAUAUACCGCCGUCGUACAGCCUACCUUUUAAAAGCAUACAAGUAGGCUAAAUAGUAAUAUACUAAUAAGUCAGGUCAAGGUGUAGCUUAUAAGGUGGAGGAAAUGGGCUACAUUGCUUAUAUUAAACCAUACGAACUUAUUCUUUAUUCCUGAAAAAGAAAAUGAAGGCGGAUUUAGCAGUAAUUUAAACAAGAAUAUUUAAAUUAA
This 340-nucleotide ribosomal RNA is filed under the name Proctoporus spinalis (Boulenger's sun tegus). RNAcentral describes it as "partial 12S ribosomal RNA". It matches the Rfam family "Bacterial small subunit ribosomal RNA", at positions 867 to 1366 of the family's 1533-position model. Lineage: Eukaryota; Metazoa; Chordata; Lepidosauria; Squamata; Gymnophthalmidae. The record is from RNAcentral.